This 75-nucleotide transfer RNA is filed under the name Crassvirales sp. Its description in RNAcentral is "tRNA-Asn". It matches the Rfam family "tRNA". From Rfam's summary of the family: Transfer RNA (tRNA) molecules are approximately 80 nucleotides in length. Their secondary structure includes four short double-helical elements and three loops (D, anti-codon, and T loops). Lineage: Duplodnaviria; Heunggongvirae; Uroviricota; Caudoviricetes; Crassvirales. The record is from RNAcentral.
UGGGAUGAAGCUUAAGUGGUAUAAAGCACUUGACUGUUAAUCAAGGGACAGUAGGUUCAAAUCCUAUCAUCCCAG